RNAcentral lists this ribosomal RNA (460 nucleotides) under uncultured bacterium. Its description in RNAcentral is "partial 16S ribosomal RNA". It matches the Rfam family "Bacterial small subunit ribosomal RNA", at positions 338 to 795 of the family's 1533-position model. The record is from RNAcentral.
CCUACGGGAGGCUGCAGUGAGGAAUAUUGGUCAAUGGACGAGAGUCUGAACCAGCCAAGUAGCGUGAAGGAUGACUGCCCUAUGGGUUGUAAACUUCUUUUAUAUGGGAAUAAAAUGUUCCACGUGUGGGAUUUUGUAUGUACCAUAUGCAUAAGGAUCGGCUAACUCCGUGCCAGCAGCCGCGGUAAUACGGAGGAUCCGAGCGUUAUCCGGAUUUAUUGGGUUUAAAGGGAGCGUAGGUGGAUUGUUAAGUCAGUUGUGAAAGUUUGCGGCUCAACCGUAAAAUUGCAGUUGAAACUGGCAGUCGUGAGUACAGUAGAGGUGGGCGGAAUUCGUGGUGUAGCGGUGAAAUGCUUAGAUAUCACGAAGAACUCCGAUUGCGAAGGCAGCUCACUGGACUGCAACUGACACUGAGGCUCGAAAGUGUGGGUAUCAAACAGGAUUAGAUACCCUUGUAGUC